Molecule: long non-coding RNA, 673 nt
Filed under: Neodiprion pinetum (white pine sawfly)
Lineage: Eukaryota; Metazoa; Arthropoda; Insecta; Hymenoptera; Diprionidae
Description: uncharacterized LOC124211554
Source: RNAcentral
UUCAGCAAUUAUGUAGCUGAGAAAUUUAGCUGGGUCGGGUCAAAAGGAAAAAGAAUUUUUUCAACACUUCAUUUGUGUCGUGUUAUUCUAGAUGUUGUCGGGAAAGCAUCGACCACAAAUUUGGUCACAGAAGAUAUGAUUGCGAAAGUCAUUAAAGAUUGGUUACGGCACGCGAAGGAACGAUUGUCACGAGAGAAACCGCCCCUAUCUUUGCACACAGAUGCAGAAGAAAACUCCGCCAGAGAACCAGAUGCCGAAGUAGAACUUAACGUUCCUGGAGUAGCUGAAGGGACUGAUUAUUCCAACUAAAAUACACGCACAUACCAAAUGACUGCCUAAAUUGGCAUUACAUGAUGAAAAUAUCUGAUGCUUCUGCGACUGUGAUUAUAAAAUUAAGUGGCACAUUUCUAUCCGUCUGCUGGUUGGAUGGAAAUAAAGCUAAUGCCUUUUAAGUAUUAUUAUCCUUUAAGUUCGACAGCGCUUUAAACAGCGGUUCAAAUACUAUAUUAUUUAUUGCAAUACAUUGCAAGCAAAGCAAGUUUUAUGUUUCAAAUAAUACUAUGAGAUAAUGACUGACUCUACGUACUACAUGAUGUAGCCAAACUAAUCGUAAGUAUAUUAUUGAAGUUCCUUAUGGACGAUUCCGUACUAUUUCCCAUAUUUCUGUGUUGAU